GAUGAACGCUGGCGGCGUGCCUAAUACAUGCAAGUCGAGCGAACAGAUGAGGAGCUUGCUCCUCUGACGUUAGCGGCGGACGGGUGAGUAACACGUGGAUAACCUACCUAUAAGACUGGGAUAACUUCGGGAAACCGGAGCUAAUACCGGAUAAUAUAUUGAACCGCAUGGUUCAAUAGUGAAAUACGGUUUUGCUGUCACUUAUAGAUGGAUCCGCGCCGCAUUAGCUAGUUGGUAAGGUAACGGCUUACCAAGGCAACGAUGCGUAGCCGACCUGAGAGGGUGAUCGGCCACACUGGAACUGAGACACGGUCCAGACUCCUACGGGAGGCAGCAGUAGGGAAUCUUCCGCAAUGGGCGAAAGCCUGACGGAGCAACGCCGCGUGAGUGAUGAAGGUCUUCGGAUCGUAAAACUCUGUUAUUAGGGAAGAACAAAUGUGUAAGUAACUAUGCAUGUCUUGACGGUACCUAAUCAGAAAGCCACGGCUAACUACGUG
This 497-nucleotide ribosomal RNA is filed under the name uncultured bacterium. Its description in RNAcentral is "partial 16S ribosomal RNA". It matches the Rfam family "Bacterial small subunit ribosomal RNA", at positions 28 to 507 of the family's 1533-position model. The record is from RNAcentral.